UCCUGGCUCAGGAUGAACGCUAGCUACAGGCUUAACACAUGCAAGUCGAGGGGUAGCAGGGUAGCAAUACCGCUGACGACCGGCGCACGGGUGAGUAACACGUAUCCAACCUUCCCAUAACUCAGGGAUAGCCUUUCGAAAGAAAGAUUAAUACCUGAUAGUACUUUUUCAAGGCAUCUUAGAAAAAGUUAAAGAUUUAUUGGUUAUGGAUGGGAUGCGUUCCAUUAGAUAGUUGGUGAGGUAACGGCUCACCAAGUCUUCGAUGGAUAGGGGUUCUGAGAGGAAGGUCCCCCACAUUGGUACUGAGACACGGACCAAACUCCUACGGGAGGCAGCAGUGAGGAAUAUUGGUCAAUGGGCGAGAGCCUGAACCAGCCAAGUAGCGUGAAAAGGAUGAAGGUCCUAUGGAUUGUAAACUUCUUUUAUAGUAGAAUAAAGUGAGCCACGUGUGGUUUUUUGUAUGUAUACUAUGAAUAAGGAUCGGCUAACUCCGUGCCAGCCGCCGC
Molecule: ribosomal RNA, 506 nt
Filed under: uncultured bacterium
Lineage: Bacteria
Description: bacterial SSU rRNA
Rfam family: Bacterial small subunit ribosomal RNA
Source: RNAcentral